Molecule: ribosomal RNA, 252 nt
Filed under: uncultured bacterium
Lineage: Bacteria
Description: partial 16S ribosomal RNA
Rfam family: Bacterial small subunit ribosomal RNA
Source: RNAcentral
UACGGAGGGGCUAGCGUUGUUCGGAAUUACUGGGCGUAAAGCGCGCGUAGGCGGCUUUGUAAGUUAGAGGUGAAAGCCCGGAGCUCAACUUCGGAAUUGCCUUUAAGACUGCAUCGCUUGAAUCAUGGAGAGGUCAGUGGAAUUCCGAGUGUAGAGGUGAAAUUCGUAGAUAUUCGGAAGAACACCAGUGGCGAAGGCGACUGACUGGACAUGUAUUGACGCUGAGGUGCGAAAGCGUGGGGAGCAAACAGG